RNAcentral lists this ribosomal RNA (66 nucleotides) under Acinetobacter baumannii. RNAcentral's name for it is "partial 16S ribosomal RNA". It matches the Rfam family "Bacterial small subunit ribosomal RNA", at positions 1473 to 1533 of the family's 1533-position model. Lineage: Bacteria; Pseudomonadati; Pseudomonadota; Gammaproteobacteria; Moraxellales; Moraxellaceae. The record is from RNAcentral. RNAcentral also lists the same sequence under 1 other name.
GACUGGGGUGAAGUCGUAACAAGGUAGCCGUAGGGGAACCUGCGGCUGGAUCACCUCCUUAACGAA